RNAcentral lists this long non-coding RNA (1808 nucleotides) under Anas platyrhynchos platyrhynchos (common mallard). RNAcentral describes it as "lncRNA (ENSAPLG00000017620.1)". Lineage: Eukaryota; Metazoa; Chordata; Aves; Anseriformes; Anatidae. The record is from RNAcentral.
GAAAAGCCUUCAGUUCAGCUGUGUAUGUUGUUUUUAAUGCACCAGUGGAAGAGCAGGCGUACCAGGGUCUAUGAGAGAUUUCUGCUUGGUCUUUGAAGGGCAGAAGAAUAUUAAGUAAGGUAUACCUGCAAAGAUGUUGCUAGGACUAUCAAGCAAUGGCAGGCAAUAGGCUGGGAUGCAUCUCCGUUGCUUUAUGUGAGGAUCAGAGCUACCGUGUUCCCAGAUGGCUGAAUUUAUUUGCGAAAAAUCUUAUAUUCCUUCCAUGUAUCGUCUGUACUAUAUUGUUCAUAAGGAGGGCAGAAACUUUCAUAUUUAUAAGUCAAGUUCUUUUGCUCAAACUCAGUAUGAAACUGAAAAUGAAACUCUAUCUUUUUUCAGCUUUUUUUUUUUUUUUUUUUUUUUUUCCCAAGUAAAGUAAUGGAAGUGUCAGAAAUUUUCUAGGUGGGAUGUAUUCAGAGAGCCUUGGAAAUGAAUUCUGCAAAGCUGUUUCUGUAAGGAGGAGGAAUGAAACUUUCAUUGCCUCAUGUCAUUGACCUUUCAAGCGGUUGAGAGUUUUAAAAGCUUUUUCUCCUGCUUUCAAUUCUAAAGGUUUAAGAAAACAAAUCAAAUGCAAAUAUAUGAUGUGAGGAGGAGAUUAUAGGUGUGCAGGAGAUCACAUUAUGUCUGAGAUACUGAGAUAGCAUUCACUCAUUAUAAGAACUUAAACAGUCUGAGUCUUAGCGUAGGAUGUAUUCUAGUUUGUUGAAAGAUCCUACUUUUGCUAAGAGAGGCUCCUGGCUAAAUUUCUUCAGAUUGACUGUCCACACAGUGGUAUUUCUAUUCUGCACUUACUACAAAGAUACAACAUGUGACCAUUUUCUUUGUUUUCAUCCUUCUCAUUGAAUUCCUGACAAAUGGCUUAAAAACUACCAAGUAUAAUCCCUUUCCCAUGCAGCAUUUAUUUUUCCAUUCAGCAUUUAAUUGAGACCUGGAGACACUUCACCUGGAGUGAAGUACCUGCAAGUGGUUGGUAUGAACAUUCCCAUCUUCCCAGUGAGCAUUUUGGACCUUUAUACGUCAGCAUUUACAAUCCCUGUAUUGAACAUCUCUGUUUUUGUUUGCUGUUGGGAAACUAAAAUGCUGUUCAGUGCUCUGUGUCCCAGAAGAGGUACCCAUUCUCCUCCAGAAUCCUCAUAAAAGAUGCCAAGAGACAGUCUUGCACCUGGCUAUUACCCUUGGGAUAGGACACUGGUAACAUCAACUUCCUCCUAUGUUUGGAGACCUGAAAAAGGUUAUCUCAGUGGCGGCUAUUGUUCAGAUCAUGGGAAUAAUGUUCAGAUUCUAGGGAAAUGGGGCUUACUAGAAAAGCAUAUUAGCCUUUAAUGUGAGGGAGAAACUGAUGUUUAAGAAACAAUGACAGAAUAUGAAGCUAGCGCAAAUGAGAGAAAGGUCUUAUAUCAGCCACAGCAAUCCAUGUGCUAGAGCAGGAACAUGCUCUGUGAGUCCACUACAUGGGCUGACUUCUGUAACCUCUAGCUGUCAUAUAUCCAGCAGCAGUAAAGCAAGGCAGCUAUAAUGAGGCUGAGGCAUUCAACAAACAAAAUUUUAUAUCACAAAGCUUGGGAGCCAAAGGCCUGGCACAGUGCAUAUUUUACUUUGCUGUUUUCUCACCUGGUUCUCUGGAAGAGCAAGGCAGAAUAGUAAACAAAGACUAUGGAGGGAAUAUAUAAAGAAGAACAGAUAAGAAGCCAGGGGAUGUGAUUAUUCAAAAAAAAAAAAAAAAAAAAAGUAUGAAUAAAGCCUGCAAGAUAUAAAAAUACUUGGGGUGA